GACGAACGCUGGCGGCGUGCUUAACACAUGCAAGUCGUACGGUAAGGCCCUUUCGGGGGUACACGAGUGGCGAACGGGUGAGUAACACGUGAGUAACCUGCCCACAACUUUGGGAUAACGCUAGGAAACUGGUGCUAAUACUGGAUGUGUGCUCCUGCUGCAUGGUGGGGGUUGGAAAGCUCCGGCGGUUGUGGAUGGACUCGCGGCCUAUCAGCUUGUUGGUGGGGUAGUGGCCUACCAAGGCGGCGACGGGUAGCCGGCCUGAGAGGGUGACCGGCCACAUUGGGACUGAGAUACGGCCCAGACUCCUACGGGAGGCAGCAGUGGGGAAUAUUGCACAAUGGGCGCAAGCCUGAUGCAGCAACGCCGCGUGCGGGAUGACGGCCUUCGGGUUGUAAACCGCUUUCAGCAGGGACGAAGCUUUUUGUGACGGUACCUGCAGAAGAAGCACCGGCUAACUACGUG
RNAcentral lists this ribosomal RNA (465 nucleotides) under uncultured bacterium. RNAcentral describes it as "partial 16S ribosomal RNA". It matches the Rfam family "Bacterial small subunit ribosomal RNA", at positions 28 to 507 of the family's 1533-position model. The record is from RNAcentral.